CAUAAAGGAUGCAGUGAUGGAGGAACGUAAAGGGUGCAGGGAUGUAGGGACGUAAAGGAUGCAGUGAUGUAAGGGAUGCAGAAAUGUAAAGGAUGUAGGGAUAUAAAGAAUUCAGGGAUGUAAAGGAUACGGAGAUGUAAGGAAGGCAGUGAUGUGAGGGAUGCAGUGCUAUAACGAUACAGAGGUACAAGGGAUAUGGGGAUACAAUGACUUAGUGGUAGUCCCUGCGAGGUUCAUAAAAAGAUUGAAAAAAUAAAUAUCUGCGGAGGGAGGCCUUGGUCCAUAUAGAGGAGUAGGAUAAUAAAUAGUUAGAAACCGUGGAUCUUGGCCCAUAAAGAAGAAUAAAAUAAUCAAUAACUGAAAAGGUUGAGCUUUGGCCUAUAUAGAGCGAUAAAAUAAUAAAUAACUGUGAAAAGUGAAAUAAAGGGGAUGGCUGGCCGAGACCCAGAAAAGGGAUAAAGUCAUAAAUGCUAUCCGAUCUCAGGAUACCGACCUGAUAUCAUUAUGGAGUGUCAGGGACCACGAAACACCGGUCACUCUCUCUACAUACCGACACUAUAUCACCAAGGGGUGUUGGGGACCCCAAAAUACCAGUGACACUUUGCAUACCGAUAUUAUGGUGUCUGGGGUAUCAGGGACCCCGAUGCAUCUGCCGCGCUCUCUGCAUACCGAUCUGACUUCAUCUGGGGUUUCUGGGAACCCCUAAAUUAAGAUUCUUCGAAAAUAAAGGCAUGUCCAGUCUUCUACAUCUGUAGUCACUAAUUUCAGUGAGAAGCUGUGCAAUUUCGAAUACGUUUUGAAGAUAAAUAAUCAAAACAAGAGAAUAUCUAUUACUUACAUUAUAAUGGCAGGUGUUACAAAAUUUAUGAAAAAUGUUUAUCACGAUCCUUUUCAAUGGUCAGUAGUUAAAAGCAUUGGAUUAUUCAUAUUAGGGGUAAAGAUUGCUCUUGAAUGUAAAGGAAUGACUCUGAUGCCAACCACCUCUUAAAAAUUCCAAAUAUAGAAAUAAAAAUGUAAAGACAAUGUAUUUCAGUUCAUAAUACAUACAUGCAUAUUUUAUUAUCUUAACAUUAAUGAAACUACAUUCUUUUUGUAUUUGUACAUAAUUUCUCUAAGUUCACAAUUCAUUUUUUAAUUGUACAUACAUAAAAUUACAUACACAAAGAAAAUGUAUAAUGUAAGUUAUCAAUAAACAGUGAAAUAAUAUGUAAAAGAAUAGUAAA
This is a long non-coding RNA of Osmia bicornis bicornis, 1223 nucleotides long. RefSeq lists it as uncharacterized. The record is from RefSeq and is a predicted model, not a curated record. The transcript is spliced from 2 exons. NCBI's taxonomy places the organism in Eukaryota, Metazoa, Arthropoda, Insecta, Hymenoptera, Megachilidae.